UGGGGAAUUUUUCGCAAUGGGGGCAACCCUGACGAAGCAAUGCCGCGUGAAUGAAGAAGGCCUUCGGGUUGUAAAGUUCUUUCGUGGAGGACGAAAAGGUGGGUGCUAAUAUCGCCUGCUGUUGACGUGAAUCCAAGAAGAAGCACCGGCUAACUCCGUGCCAGCAGCCGCGGUAAUACGGGGGGUGCAAGCGUUAAUCGGAAUCACUGGGCGUAAAGGGUGCGUAGGCGGUGCAUUAGGUCUGUCGUGAAAUCCCCGGGCUCAACCUGGGAAUGGCGGUGGAAACCGGUGUACUAGAGUAUGGGAGAGGGUGGUGGAAUUCCAGGUGUAGCGGUGAAAUGCGUAGAGAUCUGGAGGAACAUCAGUGGCGAAGGCGGCCACCUGGCCCAAUACUGACGCUGAGGCACGAAAGCGUGGGGAGCAAACAGG
Molecule: ribosomal RNA, 429 nt
Filed under: Acidithiobacillus thiooxidans
Lineage: Bacteria; Pseudomonadati; Pseudomonadota; Acidithiobacillia; Acidithiobacillales; Acidithiobacillaceae
Description: bacterial SSU rRNA
Rfam family: Bacterial small subunit ribosomal RNA
Source: RNAcentral